Molecule: ribosomal RNA, 2679 nt
Filed under: Pectobacterium versatile
Lineage: Bacteria; Pseudomonadati; Pseudomonadota; Gammaproteobacteria; Enterobacterales; Pectobacteriaceae
Description: 23S ribosomal RNA
Rfam family: Bacterial large subunit ribosomal RNA
Source: RNAcentral
AGGCAAAUGGGGGGCCCCAAAGGGGGGCUGGGGGUUAAACGAAGCGUUACCCCGACGACCCCCUAAAGGGGGAAACCCCAGGGGUUUUUUAAAUUUAUCAUUAGGGGGAAAAAGAAAAUAAUGAGGGAAGGGGGGAACUAAAAACAUCUCAAAACCGAGGAAAAGAAAUAAAAGGGGGAGUUUCCCCCGUAGUUGGGAGCGAAAAAUUCAGAACCUGAAUCAUUUUAGUUUUUUAUUAAACCCCCCCGGAAAAGGGGAAAUGGGGGGGAAAGGGGUCCCGUACAAAAAUGACAGAGGUUAAUUGAGGGGGAACGUACAUCCGUCUAAAAAAAUAACCAUCCCCAAGGGCCAAAAAUUUGACUAAACCGAUGGGAAACCAAACCUGGGGGGAAAGGAAAAAAACCCCUUGGGGGGGGGAAAAAAAGAACCUGAAACCUUUGGGGGCCAAGCGGGACCCUUGAUUAAUCGGGGUGACCAAAAAUUUUUUUAAAAAUGGGUAAAAACCCCUUUUUUCAGAAGGGAACCCCAUGGGGACCCGGGAGGGAAACCAAAUCAAUUUGGGGGUUGCGGGGAUGAACCUAAAACUCGGUGAUUUGAAAAAGGAAAAUUAAGGUUUGGGAACACUAACUGGGGGCCCCCGGAACCACCAAUGGGGGAAAAAUUAGCGAGCCCUUGGGCCCGGGGAAAAUAAUCAAACCGGGGAUAGCGGGGUUCCCUGAAAUUUUAAGGGGGCCCCUUGGGAAAAACCAUCUGGGGAGAUUUUUUUGGGGCCGGGGCCAACCCGAUUCCCCAAACCCCGAAAUACGAAAAAGGGGGAAAAAAUUUAUUAGGGGAAACAUUUAGGGAAAAAGAACGUCGAAGAGGGAACAACCCAGACCCCCGGAAACCCCCAAAGUCAUGGUUAAGUGGAAACGAUGGGAAGGGCACAGACAGCCGGGAAAUUUGGGUUUAAAGCACCAUCAUUUAAAGAAAGGAAUAGCCCCAUUUGGUCAAAAGGCCCCGAAAGGGAAUCCCUGGUUAAACCACACCAAGGUGAAAGCGACACCGGGUUGUUGGGGUUUCCUGUGGUCGAAGGUUUGUGGGGGUUGCGGGAGGUAUCAGGGCGAAUCCCGAAAAUUAAGAAAAGGGGUAAAAAAAACCCGCACCCCGGGAAGACCGGGUUUCGCCAACGAAUCGGGGGGGGUGAGUCGCCCUUUUGGCGGGGCUAAAAAGCGUGGCCGAUGGGAAACAGGUUAAUAUCUAAAUUUUGGUGUUACCAAGGGGGACGGAAAAAAGUUAGGUUACCCCGGGCGAGGCUGUCCCGGUUUUAAAGGUGAUUUUUAAACCCUUUUUGUCAUUAACACUGAGGGUGAUGACGAGUCAUUUGGGAUAAAGAACCAAUCCCGUUCCGGGAAAGCCUCUUUUUCCCUGGGAAAAUCAAAUCGUACCCCAAACCAAAAGGUUUAAAGGUAGAGAAUACUCAGGCGUUUGAGAGAACUGGGGGAAGGAACUGGGGAAAAUGGUGCCAAACUUCGGGAGAAGGAGCUGAGGGUAGGUGAAGGGAUUUGUCUUGGGAGUUUAAAAUUUGGUCGAAAAACCCCAAAAGGGCCCGCAACGUUAAAAACAGCCCCGGAAAACACGAAAGUGGACGCAUCGGUGACGCCCCCCCGGGCCAACCCCGGUUAAUUGAGGGGGCCGCCGCAAGGGGGUUUUGAUCGAACCCCCGGAAAACGGCGGCCGAACAUAACGGCCCCAAGGGCGAAAUUUUUGUCGGGUAAUUUCCCGCCCCGCAGGGAAUGGCGAAAUGAUGGGGGGGCCCCUUCCCUCCACCUUGAGACCUGCAAAAUUGCCUGAAAGAGCUUUCCCCGCGGCAAGGGAAAGACCUCUAAACCCUUUACUGGGGGUUGACCCCAAACCCCGGUUUGAUGGAAUAGGGGGGAGGUUUUAACCCGUGGACGCCAGUCUGGGGGACCCAAACCCUUUUGAAAUACCCCCCUUUAAAUUUUUAAAAUGUUCAAGGGGCCCCGUGAUCCCCCUUGGACAGUGUCUGGGGGGGGUAGUUUGACGGGGGGCGGUCCCCCUCCCAAAGCGUAACGGAGGAGAAAGAAGGUUAGCUAAUCCGGGGUUAACAUCAGGAGUUUAGGGGCAAAGGCAUAACCCAGUUUGCCCGCGAGAGUGACAGCCAAAAGGGGGGAAAGGGGUUUCUUGUGAUCCGGGGGGUUCAAGGAAGGGCCAUCGCUCAACGGAAAAAAAGGAAACCCGGGGAUAACAGGGUUGAUACCGCCCAAGAGUUCAUAUCGACGGCGGUGUUUGGAAACCUCGAUGUCGGCUCAUCACAUCCGGGGCCGAAGGGGGCCCCAAAGGGUAUGGUUUUCGCCAAAAGUGGAGCGACCCGGGUUUAAAAACGUCGAGACAGUCGGGCCCCCACUGCCGGGGUUGGAAGUUUUGAGGGGGUUGUUCUUAUUUAAGAGGCCCGGGAGUGAACGCACCAUUGUCGGGGUUGUGAUGCCAAUUGAGCCCGGAGCAAAGCGCGGGAAAAACCCGGCGAAAGCAUCUAAGGGGGAAAUUUGGGCCUUUUGGAGAUGAGUCUUCCUGGUAUUUGAUACCCGGGAAGGGGCCGUUGAAGACUCGACGUAGAUAGCUGGGUGUAAGCGUAGCGAAAGGACCCAACCAGAACGACCCGAAAAUUAAUUUUCCUUG